GAGCGAUGAUGAUCCAAGUUUUUUUUUCUUCUGGCAUCUCUAAUGCUAGAGGCUCUGCCUCGAUGAAUAUAACCCUGACUAUGUCUGAGC
RNAcentral lists this small nucleolar RNA (90 nucleotides) under Blastobotrys adeninivorans. RNAcentral's name for it is "snR48". It matches the Rfam family "Small nucleolar RNA snR48". From Rfam's summary of the family: snR48 is a member of the C/D class of snoRNA which contain the C (UGAUGA) and D (CUGA) box motifs. Most of the members of the box C/D family function in directing site-specific 2'-O-methylation of substrate RNAs. The record is from RNAcentral. Lineage: Eukaryota; Fungi; Ascomycota; Dipodascomycetes; Dipodascales; Trichomonascaceae.